RNAcentral lists this ribosomal RNA (459 nucleotides) under uncultured bacterium. Its description in RNAcentral is "partial 16S ribosomal RNA". It matches the Rfam family "Bacterial small subunit ribosomal RNA", at positions 338 to 795 of the family's 1533-position model. The record is from RNAcentral.
CCUACGGGUGGCUGCAGUGAGGAAUAUUGGUCAAUGGGCGCGAGCCUGAACCAGCCAAGUCGCGUGAAGGAUGACGGCCCUACGGGUUGUAAACUUCUUUUGUCAGGGAGUAAAGUGAGGCUUGUGUGCCUUUGUGAAUGUACCUGAUGAAAAAGGAUCGGCUAACUCCGUGCCAGCAGCCGCGGUAAUACGGAGGAUGCGAGCGUUAUCCGGAUUUAUUGGGUUUAAGGGGUGCGCAGUGGGUGUGUAAAGUCAGUGGUAAAAUAUCGGGGCUCAACCCCGAAGUGCAGUUGAAACUGUGAGUCUUGAGUGCACUAGGGGUAGGCGGAAUGCGUGGUGUAGCGGUGAAAUGCAUAGAUAUCACGAAGAACUCCGAUUGCGAAGGCAGCCUACUAGCGCGCCACUGACACUGAUGCUCGAAAGCGUGGGUAUCAAACAGGAUUAGAUACCCUGGUAGUC